GCACCGCCGCUCGCGCUGCCCCGUCGCGCCGCCGCUCCCCGUCGAGCUGCUGCUCGCCCGCGCCGCCGUUCGCGCUGCUCCCCGUCGCGCUGCUGCUCGCCCGGGCCGCGACGCGCUGCUCCCCGUCGCCCUGCUGCUCGCCCGGGCCGCGACGCGCCGCCGUUCGUGCUGCUCCCCGUCUCUGCAGCCAUGGCCAUGGCUUCGCCUACCUUGCCUGUGCCCGCCGCCUCGUGAGAGAGAGCCAUCGGCCUUCAGCUUCUAUAUCGGGUGGCACAACAAUGGCCGCUGGCUCUGCUGCUUCUAGAUCGGGAACAGAGGAAGAAGAAAGGGUUGCGUCCACGCUGGACCGCCUCGCUGGACGACAUGCUGGCCCGACAGUGGGCCACAAAGCUUGAGGGAGUUUUCUGAAUCUUUAAGUUUCCUGAGGCAAAGUACAGAACGGAGUUCUGAACUGGAGCAAAGAAUUAUCAAUACGGUAAAGGGGUUGUUCUCCGCGAAGGAUGCUGCAGCUGCUAAUGAACAGAUUUAUUUAGACUUGAUUAUAAGGUUGGUCUACUGGAAUCCAAUACUUGCAAAUGAGUAUACUGGAUUGGUUUCCCUCGUCAAGAAAGGAGAUGCUAUAUGUGGCAUGUUAUUUUUGCUAUUCACGCAUUUUAUGUCCCAGAUGGGACCUUUUUGAACAAAUUGUUUGCCUUAUUUACAAGGUAAACUUACUUGUGUACCAUUCGCAUGUGAGCUUGCAAUUCAAUGCCAAUCUAAUGAUUCUGUUGUUCC
Long non-coding RNA from Brachypodium distachyon (stiff brome), 774 nucleotides. RefSeq lists it as uncharacterized. The record is from RefSeq and is a predicted model, not a curated record. The transcript has 3 exons. Lineage: Eukaryota; Viridiplantae; Streptophyta; Magnoliopsida; Poales; Poaceae.